AGUUAUUCCCUGGGGGCUGCCUGUCUUGAAAAUAGGCUUAAAGUGUUCGAUUCACUUGGUAACUU
This 65-nucleotide transfer RNA is filed under the name Chicoreus asianus. Its description in RNAcentral is "tRNA-Ser". Lineage: Eukaryota; Metazoa; Mollusca; Gastropoda; Neogastropoda; Muricidae. RNAcentral also lists the same sequence under 1 other name. The record is from RNAcentral.